GAUAUAUUUAUAUCUUUUUGAUAAUAUUUUGUUAGAAACUAUUUUGUUCAGAUGAGAUACCUUUAAAUUUUAGAAAAUGUAGAAGAAACAAACAAAAAUGAUCAAAGCCUACCCCUUAUUCUUUUGUCUCCCCAUUAUCCUAAUUGAGUGGAAAAUCAGCUCUACUUUUGAGGCCAAGUUUGAGACCCUCUUGUGUAAUAGAUAAACUAUUAGACUCUAAGAGAAACUGCCCACUGUCUCAAGUUGAGAUUAUGGUUGGUGCCCUGUCUCUGACAAGCCCUGUGGCUUCCAUAAAGUGUUAGCCCUUUCCUGGCAGAAACAUGACACUCACCCUGCGGGUCCUUCCUACUGGCUGGGGCACUGAGCGUCCAGCUAGGUUGUUGGUGGCUUGGGAGGGAGGGGGGAGGUUUAAUUAUAAAGAAAUUUGCCCAGCAAACAUUCUUUGAUGAUAGCAGAAUGGAAACCAGCCGUCAGGAAGGCAAAUGGCAUGCUGAUCAAGAGCCAGGUGGCUGCCUCCAGGAGCUAAUUGUUCACUGAAGCCCCGGAAGAAAGGGUCUGAUGUUCUGGCUGGAAGGGAAGAGACAGACAUGGCAGGACUCUGUACCUGGAGAAAGCAAAACUGGAGUGGCGAGCGAGGAAAGGGCAAGAGCCGAGGAGGAAGUCCCUCGUCCUCUGUUGCUUUUAAUUACUUCCUCUACAGGGACUCGAGGAGGCAAGAAGGGCUCCCGGGCAGCAGGCAAAAGGACAGGGACAGCAGAAGAGCACCAAGCGCCAGCCAAAUGCCACUGAGGGAGAGAACAGAGCCCUCAAUAGAAAUGUUGGGAUGGACUAAUUUACUAGAAUGUUUUUCAGUGAAAUGCCUGAAAUUAAAAUGACAUAACCCUGGCCCAAAGGAGAGGGGACUGUGGUGGGAAGAGCUUGGAAGACCUGGGUUUCAGUCCCAACUUCAGCGUUUAACAACUGUGGGAGAGGAGGAUGAAUGGCUUAAGACAACUCAGCUUCCUCAUCUGCAAAAUGGUGAGAAUAACAACUUCUCAGAGGUUUCUUAUGAAGUUUGCCGUGAUGUGUGCAAAGGGCCUGGGGACAUUCCUGCCACAGAGUUGAGUGUCCAAUAAAGAGCAGUUUGCUGUCAUCUUCUUUGGAGAUGGAAAUGGAGACCGUGAAGGCAACUUCAUGGCUUUGUGGCUUCCCCUGAAGGGAAGAGAUAGGGGUUGUGCGAUGUGGGUCGAUCUGUGUUUGUGAGGUUGGAAUCUGGGGGGUCCACGUUCAGACAGGCCACUCAGUUGUUCUGCCCAGGUGUUGGGGGACUGACGGGUAAGGUACAGGAUGCAGCCCGCGUGGUCAUCACUGGCCACCAGCAGGGAGCCUGUGGAAGCACACAGCCCUCCCGCCACCUCGUGGACAAGCGGGAAGGGAGGUGGAAGGCUGAACCCCCACAGGCAGGCCAGCAAAACGGGCCCGGGAGAAGCGGGUGCCCUGGCCUAAACCUCACAAGAGUUGGUUGCCAAAAAUGCAAAAGAGAGAUGGAGAAGAUAGUAAAAAAGGAAGAGUCCAGGAGAAAGAUCAGUGUCUGGAUCUUUCUAGAUGUGGGACAGAAAAGGAGUGUGGGAAGAGGCAUGUGGGUAGGGUGAAAGCGGCGACUUGCGCUCUUUCGUGUUUUGAAAGGUGGUUUCUGGGCUGAGGGAGUGAGGGCUGCAGAGGUCUGUGGAAACCUCACUGUGACGUCCCCGGAAGAAUUCAGGAGGCGGCUUGAGGAGGAGGCCACGGGUGAGUGCCAGGUGCUGCCUUCAACACACAGUGGGAACAGCUUGGUGAGACCCAAGGACACCAGAUCUGAGCUCUAGUUUUCCCUGGUCUUUAACUAGCUCAGGGACCACCCCUCUUCCCAAGUCAUUUCAUCCCUCUGAGCUUCACCCUUCUGGCUACCAGGGAAGGAAUGGAACCAGAAGAUCGAUUCUGAACCUUCUAAGAAGACACGACCCUUUUUGAACAACGUCAGAAGCUUCUGCUCACCUCCCUCAAUCUGGGCACACGGUCUUCUUCAGCAACUCCUGGCCCUGGUGGAGAAACCCCAGCUAGAUAGUCACCCAGCUCUUUGUGAGGCUGAUGUUUGCUCAUGCUGUGAUGGAGAAGGGCAAGAUGUGUUCCUGGGACUGUAGCAAGAGAAAUGCCUAACAUGAUUGGCCUGUGGCUCUCCCCAUGUACAAUUUGCCCUUAUCGUGAUAAGGUUAUACAUAGUCAUAAACUAUAAAAUUAAAGUCUGUAUGAACUAUAAUAAAUACCUGUAGCUAAAAAAGUAGGUUCACAUGUAAACAAACAAACAAACAAACAAAAGAUGGAUUAGAAAGAGAGAUGCAAAGGGACUCUGCACAGGCUCUGAUGUGGCUGCUUCUCUGGAAGAAACUAAUGGCCAAAGUCCAAGUCAGGGUGGGAACAGCCAAGCUGGUGUCUCCCCUCAAAACUCAGCCCCUGAGCUGCAGGAAGGAAGGCAGCCUGGGAGCCUGGGGCAAGAGACACCCCUUGACAAGUGGCUCGUUCCACAGGGAGACUCUGGGGAAGCUCCCUGCUACCCUCCAGCUCCAAGGAUGUGAGACUUUAGAAGCUCUGCCUCCAGGAACACCUGAAUAUUCCCCAUCAGUAUUGUUUCCAGACGCUUUCAAUGAGAGACCCGAAUGAUCUGUGACGAGCCCCUCUGCCUUUCAGCUGGCAGUGCUUUUAGCCUCAGCCUUGUCUUACUCAAACUUCCUUUGAACAUCCCUGCCCAUUUCCCCCUUCAUCCUACUAUGUAUACGAAGCUCCAUAAAUUCUUCUCAAAUGAGGGUUAAAGUGUAAAGAGGUAAAGCUGCUUAAUGGUUAAAAAACAAAACAAAACAGAUUCUGGAGCUGUACCACCUCACUUCAGAUAUAAGCUUAAUAGCUGUGUGUCCUUGGUAAGCUACUUACCCUCUCUGUGCCUCAUUGCUUCACCUAUAAAAUGUAGUUAAUAAUCUAUUCAACUUCAUAGGAUUGUGAGAUAUGAGUGAGUUAAUAAAGUGCUUAGAAGAGUGUCUGGCACAGAGCAAGCACUUCACGGUAUUGGCUGUGAUUAUUUUCCAAAAUUUCUCACAUUUUUUCCUCUAAAUUAGUUCCUUCCUCAGUAUUUUUAUUUUUUGGGAAAAAGGAAAAGCCAUAGGCACACAAUAAAGCAGCUAUAGAGUCAGUAGUAACAAAAUUGAAGAAUUUCUACCCUCUGUCUUUCCUCUUACUCUUCUCCUAAUUUGGAAAGGAUGAUUCGUCAUUAUUUUCUAUGAAUCCAUCACCUGUAAUUAAUUGAUUUUUUUUUUCAAAAAGGACUAUUAGUGAACUUAAUAAUGCAAGCAGGACUGGGGAGAAGACUUGGAGGAAGAUGGAUUUGCCUCUCGUCCAGGUCUCUGUCUCCCUCCCGAGGUACCUUUACUGCUAGAGGGAACGGAGCACCACAGAUAUUUUCCUUUGAAUUUUCAAGUUCGGGUAUAAAUUUGAAGCUAAUGUUCAGAUUUAGUUUUGAAAUUAAUCUAUUAAAAUCUGAUGGGGGAGUUCCCGCUGUGGCACAGGGGAAAGGAAUCUGACUAGGAACCAUGAGGUUGCAGGUUCGAUCCCGCCUUGCUUGGUGGGUUAAGAAUCUGGCGUUGCUGUGGCUGUGGCGUAGGCUGGUGGCUACAGCUCCGAUUCAACCCCUAGCCUGGGAACCUCCAUAUGCCACAAGUGUGGCCCUAU
Molecule: long non-coding RNA, 3735 nt
Filed under: Sus scrofa (pig)
Lineage: Eukaryota; Metazoa; Chordata; Mammalia; Artiodactyla; Suidae
Description: lncRNA (ENSSSCG00000052578.1)
Source: RNAcentral